GCUGCCAUGGUUGAAUGGUACAAUUCGCGCUUGCCAUGUGCGAGGUCCGCGUUCGAUUCGCGGUGGUAGCA
RNAcentral lists this transfer RNA (71 nucleotides) under Pseudocercospora fijiensis CIRAD86. RNAcentral's name for it is "tRNA-Gly (GCC) (tRNA-Gly-GCC-1-1, tRNA-Gly-GCC-1-2)". It matches the Rfam family "tRNA". Rfam says of the family: Transfer RNA (tRNA) molecules are approximately 80 nucleotides in length. Their secondary structure includes four short double-helical elements and three loops (D, anti-codon, and T loops). Lineage: Eukaryota; Fungi; Ascomycota; Dothideomycetes; Mycosphaerellales; Mycosphaerellaceae. The record is from RNAcentral.